GACGAACGCUGGCGGCGCGCCUAACACAUGCAAGUCGAACGAGCGAGAGAGAGCUUGCUUUCUUGAGCGAGUGGCGAACGGGUGAGUAACGCGUGAGGAACCUGCCUCAAAGAGGGGGACAACAGUUGGAAACGACUGCUAAUACCGCAUAAGCCCACGGUGCCGCAUGGCACAGAGGGAAAAGGAGCAAUCCGCUUUGAGAUGGCCUCGCGUCCGAUUAGCUAGUUGGUGAGGUAACGGCCCACCAAGGCGACGAUCGGUAGCCGGACUGAGAGGUUGAACGGUCAAGUUGGGACUGAGACACGGCCCAGACUCCUACGGGGGGGAGCAGGGGGGAAUAUUGCCAAAUGGGGGAAACCCUGAUGCGGGGACGCCGGGGGGGGGAAGAAGGUUUUCGGAUUGUAAACCCCUUUUGUGGGGGAAGAUAAUGACGGUACCCAAAAAGGAAGGGACGGCUAACUACGU
RNAcentral lists this ribosomal RNA (465 nucleotides) under uncultured bacterium. Its description in RNAcentral is "partial 16S ribosomal RNA". It matches the Rfam family "Bacterial small subunit ribosomal RNA", at positions 28 to 506 of the family's 1533-position model. The record is from RNAcentral.